GCGUCAAUUUUAUCAUGGUGAAUAAGCCGAGGGUGAUGAUUGCUUCACGACCAAUUUGAAAGUUCUUUGCGACUCCCACUGGGGGAGAAAUGCGACAAUCGUAUCCAAAUAUCGGAGACGGUGGACAGGCGGCGAUGGUGGCUUGCAGUGUGAACGUAGCCAAAAGUGUAAAGUAUUUCAUAUGUACAGUACCAUUCAAAAGUAUAUCAGCACGUCUUAUCCAUUGACAUGAUAAAUAAAACCAUAGGGAGAAUUGGAGUCACUCUGAUCUUCAGGUACCACAGGACACGUGAUUGGAAUAAGGGAAAGAAGCUGAUGAUGGCUGGUUUGUGAGCUCCAGCAUGUGGCCUUGUGAGCACGCUGACACUGAAAAUUGAAAACAUGUCCUGACACUCUUAGCUGGGAAGACAUCACACAGAGACAGCUUUGAGAUUCUUACCAGCUUUCUCCGGAAUCUGACAACCAAUAAGCAGGGUUUUACUCUGCAGUGGUGUGUGAAAGAGAGACUGUUUCUGCCAUGAAGUCUCAGUCAAAUUGAAAUGACGCUGGCCUUUGAGAUGUCCAUCAUCUUUAAUAAUACCAAAUUACUGGCCCCUGCUGGAGCCUCCCAGCCACUUCUCACUACACUCAGACGACGGCAUGCCGAUGUUGAGGAUGUAACGGAGAGCGUGUACUUGGUGGGCAGUUGUCAGCUUCUCUUUACGGCUCUCAUACUAAACCCCAAAUUGAGCAUUCACUACACAGCUGUCAACAAAAGCCAAGAACAACUGUUUCAGCGGGACCUGGUUGUUGCAAAACAAGCAGUGGGCAUGAGAGAUUUGGGCAAGCUAGCAUACACACGUGCGUGUGAACAGUCCCAAAAGUUACAAACAUCUCGGUCAAAUCAAAGGUUAAUUUAUAUGUAAACUGAGACUUCUUGAAACUGGUUG
Long non-coding RNA from Cyprinus carpio carpio, 929 nucleotides. Lineage: Eukaryota; Metazoa; Chordata; Actinopteri; Cypriniformes; Cyprinidae. The record is from Ensembl.